This 301-nucleotide ribosomal RNA is filed under the name uncultured bacterium. Its description in RNAcentral is "partial 16S ribosomal RNA". It matches the Rfam family "Bacterial small subunit ribosomal RNA", at positions 509 to 807 of the family's 1533-position model. The record is from RNAcentral.
CAGUAGCCGCGGGAAUACGAGGGGGGCAAGCGUUGUUCGGAAUUAUUUGGCGUAAAGGGUGCGUAGGCGGUCUGAUAAGUCUGAUAUGAAAUCUAUGGGCUCAACCCAUAGUCUGCAUCGGAAACUGUCAGGCUUGAGGAUGGGAGAGGUGAGUGGAAUUUCCGGUGUAGCGGUGAAAUGCGUAGAUAUCGGAAGGAACACCUGUGGCGAAAGCGGCUCACUGGACCAUUUCUGACGCUGAUGCACGAAAGCUAGGGGAGCAAACGGGAUUAGAUACCCCCGUAGUCCCUGUCUCUUAUAC